CUGAUAUUAGAAGUGCAGACAGUUUUCUAAUCAACUAAGAAAGUUAUCUCUCUUCAUUCAUUAUAAAGUCCUUUUAGAUAUAGCAGCAGCAGUUCUAGGGCUGCGAAGUCCAACUCUGCCACCUCCUCAUGGUGCAGCCUGGUAACAUCAUCUAGUGAUGAUGGCCAAGAGCAGAGUGGUUUGUUAUGAGUGUCUGAUUCUUAGUGAACUCAGCAUUCAUUGGCCUUCAGGCCUUGAUCUUUGCUCCCUGUGAGCAAUCACCCUGCCACUGCUCCCUGCGAGCAACCGUCCUGCUGCUGCUCGCUACGAGCAAUCGCUCUGCCGCUGCUCCCUGCGAGCAAUCGCCCUGCCUCCGCCCUGCCUCUGCUCUCUGUGAGCAAUCACUCUGCCACUGCUCACUACGAGCAAUCGCCCUGCCGCUGCUCCCUGCGAGCAAUCAUCCUGCUGCUGCUCGCUACGAGCAAUCGCCCUGCCUCCGCCCUGCCUCUGCUCUCUGUGAGCAAUCACCCUGCCACUGCUCACUACGAGCAAUCGCCCUGCCGCUGCUCCCUGCGAGCAAUCGCCCUGCCGCUGCUCCCUGUGAGCAAUCGCCCUGCCUCCGCCCUGCCUCCGCCCUGCCUCUGCUCUCUGUGAGAGCAAUCACCCUGCCGCUGCUCACUACGAGCAAUCGCCCUGCCGCUGCUCCCUGCGAGCAAUCACCCUGCCUCCGCCCUGCCUCCGCCCUGCCUCUGCUCUCUGUGAGAGCAAUCACCCUGCCGCUGCUCACUACGAGCAAUCGCCCUGCCGCUGCUCCCUGCGAGCAAUCACCCUGCCGCUGCUCACUACGAGCAAUCGCCCUGCCGCUGCUCCCUGCGAGCAAUCGCCCUGCCGUAGCACUUGUGUGCUUUGAUUAUCUCUACCAUGAAUGGCCAUACGUCGGGCCAGAAGUGGAUGAACAGUCUAUAUAAACUGAGUCUUCUCAAGAGUUGCUAUCUGGAUCCUGUGUCUAUCAUUACUGUGUAUAUAGAGAUUUCUCCAGCGUAGCACGUCCCCAUGCCCUUCGGAAGGCUUUUGAAGUGCAGGCAUUGCCUGUGUCUUCUCUGAGACACUAAACCAAUACAUACAUACAUACAUACAGCAGCAGUUCUAUCAGAAAUCACACUAUAACUUUAUUAUAAAUGAUUAUACAUUGAUUCAGAAGUGAAUAUGCAGCUUAGUAAAAUUCUUUUCAAUGAGUUGAAUUUUUUCAAAAGUUGUCAUCUGAAUUCUGUUUUCUCUUUCUCUGUGUAUAUAGAAAUCUCUUCAGUGUAGUAUGUUUUCAUAUUCUUCAGAAAACUUCUGAAACACAGACACUGUCUGUGUUUUCUCUGAGACAUUAAAUCAAUACAAAUAAACAAAC
RNAcentral lists this small RNA (1378 nucleotides) under Histoplasma ohiense. Its description in RNAcentral is "hypothetical lncRNA". The record is from RNAcentral. Lineage: Eukaryota; Fungi; Ascomycota; Eurotiomycetes; Onygenales; Ajellomycetaceae.